CAGCGCCACGAGUGGUAACCACGUUUAUUGGGCCUAAAGCGUCCGUAGCCGGGUUGAUAAAUCUUUUGUGAAAUUGUACAGCUUAACUGUACAGCGUGCAAGAGACACUGUCAAACUCGAGACCGGGAGGAGUCAGAAGUAUUCCAGAGGGAGCGGUAAAAUGUUAUAAUCUCUGGAGGACUACCUGUGGCGAAGGCGUCUGACCAGAACGGAUCUGACGGUGAGGGACGAAAGCCAGGGGAGCAAAACGGAUUAGAUACCCGAGUAGUCC
Molecule: ribosomal RNA, 271 nt
Filed under: uncultured archaeon
Lineage: Archaea
Description: partial 16S ribosomal RNA
Rfam family: Archaeal small subunit ribosomal RNA
Source: RNAcentral